This 459-nucleotide ribosomal RNA is filed under the name uncultured bacterium. RNAcentral's name for it is "partial 16S ribosomal RNA". It matches the Rfam family "Bacterial small subunit ribosomal RNA", at positions 28 to 523 of the family's 1533-position model. The record is from RNAcentral.
AACGAACGCUGGCGGCAGGCCUAACACAUGCAAGUCGAACGUGAAGCCACCUUCGGGUGGUGGAAAGUGGCAGACGGGUGAGUAACGCGUGGGACCGUGCCUUUCGGUUCGGGAUAACCCAGGGAAACUUGGGCUAAUACCGGAUACGCCCUCCGGGGGAAAGAUUCAUUGCCGAAAGAUCGGCCCGCGUCGGAUCGGCUAGUUGGUGGGGUAAAAGCCUACCAAGGCGACGAUCCGUAGCUGGUCUGUGAGGAUGACCAGCCACACUGGGACUGGGACACGGCCCAGGCGCCUACGGGAGGCAGCAGUGGGGAAUAUUGGACAAGGGGCGCAGGCCUGAUCCAGCCAUGCCGGGGGGGUGAAGAAGGCCGUAGGGUUGUAACCCCCUUUCGGCGGGGAAGAUAAUGACGGUACCCGGAGAAGAAGCCCCGGCUAACUCCGUGCCAGCCGCCGCAGUAA